UGCUCCAUUGCCGACUGUCUGCACUUCCGCUGUGACAUCCCUUCCUUGGACAUCCAGGACGAGCUUGACUUCAUUCUGAAGGGCAACCUCAGCUUCAGCUGGGCCAGUCAGACAUUGCAGAAAAAGGUGGUGGUCAUGAGUGUGGCUGAGAUUACAUUCAACACCUCUGUGUAUUCCCAGCUGCCGGGACAGGAGGCAUUUCUGAGAGCUCAGGUAG
Molecule: non-coding RNA, 217 nt
Organism: Cricetulus griseus (Chinese hamster)
Lineage: Eukaryota; Metazoa; Chordata; Mammalia; Rodentia; Cricetidae
Source: RefSeq, a predicted model, not a curated record